CCCGGAUGUUAGCGGCGGACGGGUGAGUAACACGUGGGUAACCUGCCUGUAAGACUGGGAUAACUCCGGGAAACCGGAGCUAAUACCGGAUAGUUCCUUGAACCGCAUGGUUCAAGGAUGAAAGACGGUUUCGGCUGUCACUUACAGAUGGACCCGCGGCGCAUUAGCUAGUUGGUGGGGUAAUGGCUCACCAAGGCGACGAUGCGUAGCCGACCUGAGAGGGUGAUCGGCCACACUGGGACUGAGACACGGCCCAGACUCCUACGGGAGGCAGCAGUAGGGAAUCUUCCGCAAUGGACGAAAGUCUGACGGAGCAACGCCGCGUGAGUGAUGAAGGUUUUCGGAUCGUAAAGCUCUGUUGUUAGGGAAGAACAAGUGCGAGAGUAACUGCUCGCACCUUGACGGUACCUAACCAGAAAGCCACGGCUAACUACGUGCCAGCAGCCGCGGUAAUACGUAGGUGGCAAGCGUUGUCCGGAAUUAUUGGGCGUAAAGGGCUCGCAGGCGGUUUCUUAAGUCUGAUGUGAAAGCCCCCGGCUCAACCGGGGAGGGUCAUUGGAAACUGGGAAACUUGAGUGCAGAAGAGGAGAGUGGAAUUCCACGUGUAGCGGUGAAAUGCGUAGAGAUGUGGAGGAACACCAGUGGCGAAGGCGACUCUCUGGUCUGUAACUGACGCUGAGGAGCGAAAGCGUGGGGAGCGAACAGGAUUAGAUACCCUGGUAGUCCACGCCGUAAACGAUGAGUGCUAAGUGUUAGGGGGUUUCCGCCCCUUAGUGCUGCAGCU
Molecule: ribosomal RNA, 784 nt
Filed under: Bacillus safensis
Lineage: Bacteria; Bacillati; Bacillota; Bacilli; Caryophanales; Bacillaceae
Description: bacterial SSU rRNA
Rfam family: Bacterial small subunit ribosomal RNA
Source: RNAcentral